This 74-nucleotide transfer RNA is filed under the name Myotis evotis (long-eared Myotis). RNAcentral's name for it is "tRNA-Gln". It matches the Rfam family "tRNA". From Rfam's summary of the family: Transfer RNA (tRNA) molecules are approximately 80 nucleotides in length. Their secondary structure includes four short double-helical elements and three loops (D, anti-codon, and T loops). Lineage: Eukaryota; Metazoa; Chordata; Mammalia; Chiroptera; Vespertilionidae. The record is from RNAcentral.
UAGAGUAUAGUGUAAUACAGGUAGCACGAAGAUUUUUGAAUUCUUAGGAGCAGGUUCAAUUCCUGUAAUUCUAG